GGGCAGUGGAGACAUUGUCCUUCAGUUAGGCUGGCCCCAGAACAGGUGCUGCAUGGCUGUCGUCAGCUCGUGUCGUGAGAUGUUGGGUUAAGUCCCGCAACGAGCGCAACCCUCGCCCUUAGUUGCCAGCAUUUAGUUGGGCACUCUAAGGGGACUGCCGGUGAUAAGCCGAGAGGAAGGUGGGGAUGACGUCAAGUCCUCAUGGCCCUUACGGGCUGGGCUACACACGUGCUACAAUGGUGGUGACAGUGGGCAGCGAGACAGCGAUGUCGAGCUAAUCUCCAAAAGCCAUCUCAGUUCGGAUUGCACUCUGCAACUCGAGUGCAUGAAGUUGGAAUCGCUAGUAAUCGCAGAUCAGCAU
RNAcentral lists this ribosomal RNA (361 nucleotides) under Ensifer meliloti. RNAcentral's name for it is "Sinorhizobium meliloti bacterial SSU rRNA". It matches the Rfam family "Bacterial small subunit ribosomal RNA", at positions 995 to 1355 of the family's 1533-position model. The record is from RNAcentral. Lineage: Bacteria; Pseudomonadati; Pseudomonadota; Alphaproteobacteria; Hyphomicrobiales; Rhizobiaceae.